GUGAAGGUUAAAUCUCACGUGGAUUAACUAAUUACUUGCAAAUUGCAGCCUUCAGCAAUUUUUAAUAAAAGAACACCAUCCGCUUCAUGCUAAACUGUAAAAAUGGAUUUCAUUUUCAUAAUAUUAAUGUUAUUCUAUGGAACAGUGCUAUUAGAAGAAAUCCCAGAAGCAAACAGGGUACAAAUUAUAGAGCAGCUAUGUAGAGAUGGCUUCUAAUCAUAAUUGAACAUGAACAAGAACAAAUAAAUCAAGGAAGAAACUCCUCCACUUCUGCUGACCUAGAUAUGCCAGUUUUAAAGCCAGAUAAAUAUCAAGCAACCUGCAAGCGAAGUUACAUAGCAGCUGAGAGAGUGACAGUCAAGCCCAUCAUGACUGGGGACACUCGGAUACAGCAGAAGCACAGGAACUUGAUUUUGAAAUCAGAUUGCAUACUUGGAACUACCACUGUUCCCGACUUAAGCUCCUUGGCAGAGAUGCUAGCUGAAUGUGCACAUCGCCGAAAAACAUUGCCCAGACGGACGGCGGCAAAUACACUCUGGGCAAGCAACUCACCUCCCAGCUGCAGCCACAGAGCUGUGUCUGACUGAUGGAGACUGGCAGAGACUCCCCUUCAUCCAUGACUCAGCCAUCUUGUGAGGACGCCAUCUCACUAUGUGACUUCCAAGUUUGCUGCUAUAGAGGAGGAGAGGCAUGUAAGCUCACACCAGCCUUUAAGAGAAUAAUCCCAGAAAUUAUAUGUGUCUCUACUGCU
This 751-nucleotide long non-coding RNA is filed under the name Bos indicus x Bos taurus (hybrid cattle). RNAcentral's name for it is "lncRNA (ENSBIXG00000020336.1)". Lineage: Eukaryota; Metazoa; Chordata; Mammalia; Artiodactyla; Bovidae. The record is from RNAcentral.